Molecule: long non-coding RNA, 786 nt
Filed under: Manacus vitellinus (golden-collared manakin)
Lineage: Eukaryota; Metazoa; Chordata; Aves; Passeriformes; Pipridae
Description: lncRNA (ENSMVIG00005005178.1)
Source: RNAcentral
GUCUGCUCUGUGUAUUUUGCUGAAGCCUCAAGAGGAGAGCCAGACGGUGAUAUUCAUUCCAGUGGCACUGAGCAGCGGACACCAGCCUGCUGGGAAAAGAUCCAACACCAUCAAUUCAUUUUCAUUUCCCAUGAAUGCUAUUGGCAAUCAUGCCAAAAACCAAACCAAAACCCGAAAUGGGUUUUCUAUUACCUGUACUUCAGUGUUCUACUGUGACCCAAGAGUUAUGGCAAUGGCUCUCUUUGGCAAGUACCUGCUGCUGCUUGUGGGAUGCUACCGAAGGUCCAGCAGGGCCACAGAAGGAUGCAAGCUCCAGCAGAAUCUACAAAAAAAAACAUUAAGAAAACAAAUUCAAGGAAGCAGUGGAACGUGAAUUCAAGAGCAGAAUGUGAUUGCACAAGGAGAUUCUACACCGAACUGAAACAUUCAUGUUUUGGAUCAUUGAGAACAAAUGAAGUACAAUACCGGUCUGUUCCCUUUCUAUUCUUAUGUCUCCGCUUUGUUUUACUUUCCUUAGCUUAGAUUUUUUUUCCUUUUUGGAGUCCUGCAGGGAGGAAAAAGGAGCCUUUGUUUUAAAAAGUCUGAGACCAACAGUGGCCCAUUGAUCAUAAUUAAGUCUAAAAUAAUACGCUUUUGCUGACCUGUUUGUAUUGAAUCCAAAAAAUUUUAUGUUAUACCUGCUGUAGUCUUGGUCUGCCCCCAGAUUCAGUUGCUUGUUCCUGAGCUUCUGGUUCUGGGGCAAUAACUUUUAAAGCCUAAAUAAACCUAUGUGUUUUCAGGGCUGCA